AGAGGGCUAACAAUCACAGUAUGAGUUUGCACACGGGAAGUGUGUUCACCUCCCUAUUGUCUAAGGCUCUAUACUUGGAGAAAUGAUCUUCACCUGGCCAGGCUCCACCCUACCUGAGGUAGUCCGGACUUGCCAGGGCACUGCACACAUGGAGUGUUGUACGGGGCUCCACAGUGGUCUGUGUGGGAGGCACACUGUGCAUUUCCCUCGUAGAGGUUUCCUCACAUGCCUGAGGCAUUGACGGAAUUGGCUGCUUUGUUCAUGUUCUAUGUUGAAGAGGGACCCAAAUGCAAGAAAUGAGCAAAACUCAUGGAUGGCUGUGUUCACAUCCACUUUGUAGAAGGUUUGCACCUACCUGAGUGGGUCAGGAAAUGGUGGGGCUCUUCUCACAUUCACCAUGUAGAGGGCUCCAUGCAUGAUGCAGGUGUGCAGUGUGGGUGGGGUGUGCUGACCUUCCCGGUGUAUCAGAAGCAUGUGUACAGGGGAGUGUCAGUGUGUGGCAGGGCUGUGAUUACACUCAGGUUGUCCAGGGCACCACCAAUGCCUGAGGUCGUCAGGACACGGGGAGGCUCUGGUCACGAUCACAGUGUGCAGGGCACCACACAUGCGUGAGCUGGUCAGGAGGGCAAGAGGCUCUGCUCACAUCCACUUUGUAAGGGGCUGCUUGCUCACCUCUGGUGCUUAAGAUAAAGGUGGGGCUCUGGUCACUUUCACAUUGUGGAGGGCUCUGUACUUGCCUGAGGUUGUCAGGGCAUACACGGGUUGUGCAGAUUCUGCUUUCAUUCAAGUUGUUCAGGGCUCCAUGGAAAGGGUUUGUGGUCAGGACAUGGGGCGCUCUGUUUCUAUCCAUACCAUGGAAGGCUCAACACAGUUCUCAAGACAUGUCAAGGGCUUGGUUUUCUGUUCACAUACACAAUUUUUAGGGACCAACCCUCCAGGCAGGAUAAGGACUUGGAGAGUCACUCUUCUUCCAUGUUCUCUUUUUGCAGGCCUACACAUAAGUGAUAUUGUCAGGACCUGUGGCCCGAUUCACAGAAUGUUUCGUUCCAGAAGUAUAACAGUUUGUGCUGCUGGGCAGUGCUCCUGCCCAAUAUAUCAAAAUGUUUUGUAUCUGUUUGAAAUGUGUGCCCUCUUAGGAAUCUUCUGUUAGCUCUGCCCCUCUGAGGAUGUUCUGUUAGGUCUGCCCCUCUCAGGAACCUUCUGUUAGCUCUGCCCCUUUCAGGAAUGCUCUGUAACUCUUCUCCCUUCCCCCUGCUUCAGUGAGCAUGCUCACCCAGCAUGUGUUUGAGGAAUGUUCUGUAACUCCAUCCACUCCUCUGCUUCCUUGAGCAUGUUUGCCUAUCCUGUAGAGCCCUAUAUAAGGAGGCACUCAUUCUGGUAGGGUGCUCAGACAUCAGAGUAGGAACUCCUCUGAGUCUGCCGGUAUAAUAAAGGUUUUUCUCCACCUUUUCAA
Heterocephalus glaber (naked mole-rat) is the source of this 1453-nucleotide non-coding RNA. The record is from RefSeq and is a predicted model, not a curated record. Lineage: Eukaryota; Metazoa; Chordata; Mammalia; Rodentia; Bathyergidae.